RNAcentral lists this unclassified non-coding RNA (345 nucleotides) under Hevea brasiliensis (rubber tree). The record is from RNAcentral. Lineage: Eukaryota; Viridiplantae; Streptophyta; Magnoliopsida; Malpighiales; Euphorbiaceae.
GUGAAAGGUAAGUUUUAUAGAAUUAUAGUGAGGCUAACUAUGUUGUAAGGGAGUAAAUAUUGGACAUCUAAGGUAUAACAUACAUAAGAUGAGUGUGACAAAAAUGCGGAUGUUAAAAUAGAUGUAUGGUAUUACGAUAAUGGAUAAAAUUAGGAAUGCUCACAAUGCAUGUAGCAUACAUUGGAAAUGAGAGAAAAUUGAUUGAGAUGAUUUGAUCAUAUUCAAUGUAGAGUAUUUAACACCCCAGUAUAGAAAUGUGAUAAGUUAAUGGUGGAAGGAGUGAGAAGGAAAAGGGGGACACCUAAAACGACGUGGAGGGAGCUAGUAUCAAAAGAUUUACAAUUU